Molecule: ribosomal RNA, 253 nt
Filed under: uncultured bacterium
Lineage: Bacteria
Description: partial 16S ribosomal RNA
Rfam family: Bacterial small subunit ribosomal RNA
Source: RNAcentral
UACGUAGGUGGCAAGCGUUGUCCGGAAUUAUUGGGCGUAAAGCGCGCGCAGGCGGUUCCUUAAGUCUGCUGUGAAAGCCCCCGGCUCAACCGGGGAGGGUCAUUGGAAACUGGGGAACUUGAGUGCAGAAGAGAAGAGCGGAAUUCCACGUGUAGCGGUGAAAUGCGUAGAGAUGUGGAGGAACACCAGUGGCGAAGGCGGCUCUUUGGUCUGUAACUGACGCUGAGGCGCGAAAGCGUGGGGAGCAAACAGG